UUUAGUCAUAGCUGUUGUCCAGUACGUCUUGAAGUUAUAAGUUUAUUAUAAGUAAACGCGUAUUUGUGAUAAUUAUUUCUUUUAAGAUUUUUUAAAUUUAAGUACACGUUUAUUUGUAAAAUGGCUUCUAAAGAAAAAAGUAGCAAAAGCAAACCGUACACAUCUAUGGAAAAGAAAGUAUUUCUACAAAUACUUGAUAAAUACAAACAUGUAAUAAAAGUAAAGAAAAAUGACGGCACAACAUUGAAAGAUAAGGACGUUGCAUGGUGCGAAAUAUGCAAUGAAUUUAAUCAAUCAACAUUACGUUGUCACGAGAGAACUGUUCAGCACGUAAAGAAACUGUGGGCAAAAGCACGGUCAACGAGGAGCAUUAACAAAGGAGAAACACGCACUCAUGGCAACGGGUGGAGGACGUACCACAGGAAGCAAGAACAGAAGUUGAUCCUGACAUUGCCAACCGUGCACCCCAUUUGAUGAAAACCGCACCAGUCGUAUUUUCAUCUAAUAUGACGGAAAAAGAACGUCACCAAAAGUAAGACAUUGUCGUAUGUACCGUAUGUUAAAGUUACGGCUAAGCUGUCUCAGCAACACAUGCUUUUGAUAUAUCAAACAUGACGAUGAACUUUCAUUAUUUCGUGCAUUUCAGAUAAACGUGAGUUUGUAUUUGAUAUCAUGUCUGCUAACGAAGGUGUAGAAGUAUUAUUUACGAAAGAAAAGGGACAUGUGAUAAACAUAGAUGAUGUAGAAAGCACUACUGUUUCGCAAAAACAGUUAUUAUUGCAGAAGACUGUAAUGAAGAACUGAUGACAUCACACAGUACAGAUAUGUUAAAAGUACAUUUAAAUAACGAUAUGAGAAAAUGACGUGUUUUUAAACGAAAGAGAAAAGAUCUGCUCGAAGUAUCAAAUGAAGAAGAGGACGUACGAAUACAAAGAUUAAAAAAUGUUAUAAAACAAGAAGAAACAUUAGCAAACAUUAAGUUAAAACACGAAGAAAAAAAUAACACUUAUGAAAGAAGAGCAUUUAAAAUUAUUUAACGAUUUGCACGUGAACCAUUUAAAAGA
Temnothorax curvispinosus is the source of this 1064-nucleotide RNA transcript. RefSeq lists it as uncharacterized. The record is from RefSeq and is a predicted model, not a curated record. Lineage: Eukaryota; Metazoa; Arthropoda; Insecta; Hymenoptera; Formicidae. The transcript has 4 exons.